ACAUGGCGAUGGUGGGGACUCCAAGGCCCCAUCCCCACCCAAUGUUAUCUUGAAUGUAAACAAGCACUGUGACAGCCACAAGUAUUGAUACCCCCAUCACAAAGUAGUACCAAUUGAAGUAUUUCCAUGUCUUCGUUGCUUCCUUUGGGUUGCUUUCGUCGAACUGGUCUGCCCCGAAAGCAACCACACAAGGCCGGAUUCCUCCUGAUCCCAAAGCCCCAAGUAAGAGAGAUCCGUAUAGGAUUGCCAACUGCCCUGCCGUUGCUUGUUGGCAGACUUGCUCACCUUUACACGGUGGUGGCCUAAGUUGUGGAAGUAUUGCUGAUAGUGUUAAACAUGUC
This 341-nucleotide long non-coding RNA is filed under the name Gossypium barbadense (sea-island cotton). Its description in RNAcentral is "long non-coding RNA (GBAR_LNC012202)". Lineage: Eukaryota; Viridiplantae; Streptophyta; Magnoliopsida; Malvales; Malvaceae. The record is from RNAcentral.